RNAcentral lists this ribosomal RNA (253 nucleotides) under uncultured bacterium. RNAcentral's name for it is "partial 16S ribosomal RNA". It matches the Rfam family "Bacterial small subunit ribosomal RNA", at positions 524 to 776 of the family's 1533-position model. The record is from RNAcentral.
UACGUAGGAUGCAAGCGUUGUCCGGAAUUAUUGGGCGUAAAGAGCGCGCAGGCGGUGUAUCAAGUCAGAUGUGAAAGAGGCCGGCUUAACCGGCAAGGGUCAUUUGAAACUGAUAGACUAGAGUGCAGCAGAGGAUAGCGGAAUUCCCGGUGUAGUGGUGAAAUGCGUAGAUAUCGGAAGGAACACCAGUGGCGAAAGCGGCUUCCUGGUCCGACACCGACGUUCAGGCACGAAAGCGUGGGGAGCAAACAGG